UGUUUCGGCUAGGGGGUCAUCCCGACUUACCAACCCGAUGCAAACUACGAAUACCGAAGAAUGUUAUCACGGGAGACACACGGCGGGUGCUAACGUCCGUCGUGAAGAGGGAAACAACCCAGACCGCCAGCUAAGGUCCCAAAGUCACAGUUAAGUGGGAAACGAUGUGGGAAGGCACAGACAGCCAGGAUGUUGGCUUAGAAGCAGCCAUCAUUUAAAGAAAGCGUAAUAGCUCACUGGUCGAGUCGGCCUGCGCGGAAGAUGUAACGGGGCUAAACUGUGCACCGAAGCUGCGGCAGCGACACUAUGUGUUGUUGGGUAGGGGAGCGUUCUGUAAGCCUGCGAAGGUGGCCUGUGAGGGUUGCUGGAGGUAUCAGAAGUGCGAAUGCUGACAUAAGUAACGAUAAUGCGGGUGAAAAGCCCGCACGCCGGAAGACCAAGGGUUCCUGUCCAACGUUAAUCGGGGCAGGGUGAGUCGACCCCUAAGGCGAGGCCGAAAGGCGUAGUCGAUGGGAAACAGGUUAAUAUUCCUGUACUUGGUGUUACUGCGAAGGGGGGACGGAGAAGGCUAUGUUAGCCGGGCGACGGUUGUCCCGGUUUAAGCAUGUAGGCGGAGGUUCCAGGUAAAUCCGGUACCUUUUUAACGCUGAGGUGUGAUGACGAGGCACUACGGUGCUGAAGUAACAAAUGCCCUGCUUCCAGGAAAAGCCUCUAAGCAUCAGGUAACAUU
RNAcentral lists this ribosomal RNA (730 nucleotides) under Klebsiella aerogenes. Its description in RNAcentral is "partial 23S ribosomal RNA". It matches the Rfam family "Bacterial large subunit ribosomal RNA", at positions 911 to 1638 of the family's 2925-position model. Lineage: Bacteria; Pseudomonadati; Pseudomonadota; Gammaproteobacteria; Enterobacterales; Enterobacteriaceae. The record is from RNAcentral.